AUUGAACGCUGGCGGCAGGCCUAACACAUGCAAGUCGAACGGUAACAGGAAACAGCUUGCUGUUUCGCUGACGAGUGGCGGACGGGUGAGUCAUGUCUGGGAAACUGCCUGAUGGAGGGGGAUAACUACUGGAAACGGUAGCUAAUACCGCAUAACGUCGCAAGCCCAAAGAGGGGGACCUUCGGGCCUCUUGCCAUCGGAUGUGCCCAGAUGGGAUUAGCUAGUAGGUGGGGUAACGGCUCACCUAGGCGACGAUCCCUAGCUGGUCUGAGAGGAUGACCAGCCGCACUGGAACUGAGACACGGUCCAGACUCCUACGGGAGGCAGCAGUGGGGAAUAUUGCACAAUGGGCGCAAGCCUGAUGCAGCCAUGCCGCGUGUAUGAAGAAGGCCUUCGGGUUGUAAAGUACUUUCAGCGGGGAGGAAGGGAGUAAAGUUAAUACCUUUACUCAUUGACGUUACCCGCAGAAGAAGCACCGGCUAACUCCGUG
RNAcentral lists this ribosomal RNA (490 nucleotides) under uncultured bacterium. RNAcentral describes it as "partial 16S ribosomal RNA". It matches the Rfam family "Bacterial small subunit ribosomal RNA", at positions 30 to 507 of the family's 1533-position model. The record is from RNAcentral.